GGGGUAAUAGUGUAGCUUGGCCUAUCAUCUGUGGUUUGGGACCAUAGGACCGCGGUUCAAAUCCGCGUUACCCCG
Molecule: transfer RNA, 75 nt
Filed under: Nanobdellota archaeon
Lineage: Archaea; Nanobdellati; Nanobdellota
Also listed under: 1 other name
Description: tRNA-Pro
Rfam family: tRNA
About the family: Transfer RNA (tRNA) molecules are approximately 80 nucleotides in length. Their secondary structure includes four short double-helical elements and three loops (D, anti-codon, and T loops).
Source: RNAcentral